This 253-nucleotide ribosomal RNA is filed under the name uncultured bacterium. RNAcentral's name for it is "partial 16S ribosomal RNA". It matches the Rfam family "Bacterial small subunit ribosomal RNA", at positions 524 to 776 of the family's 1533-position model. The record is from RNAcentral.
UACAGAGGUGGCAAGCGUUGUUCGGAAUUACUGGGCGUAAAGGGCGCGUAGGCGGCCCUCUAAGUCAGACGUGAAAUCCCUCGGCUCAACCGGGGAACUGCGUCUGAGACUGGAAGGCUUGAAUUCGGGAGAGGGAUGUGGAAUUCCAGGUGUAGCGGUGAAAUGCGUAGAUAUCCGGAGGAACACCGGUGGCGAAGGCGGCUUCCUGGACCGACACUGACGCUGAGGCGCGAAAGCUAGGGGAGCAAACGGG